Molecule: long non-coding RNA, 4191 nt
Filed under: Homo sapiens (human)
Lineage: Eukaryota; Metazoa; Chordata; Mammalia; Primates; Hominidae
Description: non-protein coding ST3GAL5-AS1:20
Source: RNAcentral
AGUCAGCCCUGCGGUGCGGUGGGCAUUGCCAGAGCAGGGCGCCCCCUGCAGGGACGCACCCGGGGCGGGGGCCAGGCUGGGGCGAGCCCCCCUUGGUUCUGGAGAGGAAAUGACAUACAGUUUGUGAAAGCAUAAAUAUUCGUGAAAAUAAGAAAAUUCAGGAAGGAAACAAAGCUUAAGGCAGUGAUUGAUAGGUUAUUUCUUGGACACAGCUGAACGUAUACUGUGCGCCUGCAACUUUCCGGUGGUUUCGGACCGGACUUCAGUGAAGCCAGUGAAGUCGGUCGACUUGCAGAACUUCCUUUCAGAGGGGCGUACACAGCACCGCGGCCGUGUGCCUGUGAUCUCCUUCUGAGUUUGAAAAAGAAGAUCCUAGACACCGAGCCAAAUAUGUUUGCAUAAACCGGGAGACUUGUGGCUCUAUUUUGUAACAGCUUGGCGCAGGGCAGCUGGUUUGGAGAUGUCUCUGUUCUUCCCUUGGUGGGGGUGCCGGAAAAAAUGUGCUGCCUGGGCGAUCGAGGUUGGGGCAAAAGCGUUGCAAAGGAAAAGGUGGGAGGACUCUACUUUCACAUUUCCCAAAAGAGUUUUACCAUAAGACUAUUUCUGGAUUGUUCUAACGUGAGGAUAUUGGGAGCAUUUUGAAAAUACUGGAGGAAAAGCUGUCACUGGGCGAUUUAAAUCCGGUAAGUUGGCCAAGGCAGAGCAGCUGCUGGGGUCAGCGACAGCUGACCCUUGCAGCUGAGUAUCUUGCCCUCUUAAUCUUGGAGAUCAGCCCAAGGCCCAUGUGUUACAGGAAAGGGGUCCCGAUCUAGACCCCAAGAGAGGGUUCUUCGAUCUCACGCAAGAAACAAUUCAGAGUAAGUCCACAGUGCAAAGUAAAAGCAAGUUUAUUAAGAAAGUAAAGUGGUGGCUGGGCACAGUGGCUCACGCGUAAUCCCAGCACUUUGGGAGGCUGAGACGGACAGAUCACCUGAUGUCAGGAGUUCAAGACCAGCUGGCCAACAUGGCAAAACCCCGUCUCUACUAGAAAUACAAAUAUUGGCCGGGCGUGGUGGCGCAAGCCUGUUGUCUCAGCUACUCACGGGGCUGAGGCAGGAGAAUCGCUUGAACCCGGGAGGCAGAGGCUACAGUGAGCCGAGAUCGCCACUGCACUCCAGCAGGGCAUUCCUGAAAAUAAGAGGAGGGACAUAUCCAACUAAGGAAGCUGGAAAGUCCAAGAUCAGGGAGUCAGCAUCUGGUGAAGGCCUUCUUGCUGUGUCAUCCCAUGGUGGAACAUGGAAGGGUAAGAGAGCACACGCAAGAGACAGCAAGAGCCAAAGGGGGCCACACUCAUUUUUCCAUUAGGAGCUCACUCCCAACUCCACGAUAAUGAACCCACUCCCACAAUCAUAGCAUUAAUCCAUUCAUGUGGGUGAAGCCCUCAUGACCUAUUCACCUCUCAAAGGUCCCACCUCUUAACACUGUUUCACUGGGGAUUAAGUUUCCAACAUAUGAACUUUGGAGAACAUAUUUAAGCCAUAGUAUCCCUCCAGACCCUCCUCUCCACCCUCCUCUGCCAUGCUUGGUGUCCUGAAAUGCUGACCUUUAUGAAUUGCAUCAUCCAGUCUACUUUGCCCUAGCUUCUGGUCAGGUUCAGCCAACGAAAGGCACUGGAGGCAGGGGCUAGAGGAGAAUGAGAUCAGAGUAUUUAUAUCCUGCUCUCUCCCUGCAAUGAAUUGGUAUUCCCAUAACAAAUUGGUAUUCCCAUAACAAAGGCUGCAACUCUUAUCAAGUGGCCGAUAUUCUAAACACACCUGCCCUUGCCCCCCUCAGAUCCAGGAGAGGUAAAGGCUUCCUGCUGUUGCUAGCUCUGUCAUGCUUCACCACCCCUUAACCUUGCCCACAUCCCUGCAAGCGGUCCUUCACUACAUGCUCCUGAGACACCCAGUUUGAGAUGCUGUUUACUUCCUGAUGGAACCUUGACCACACAGACAUCAUUGCUAUUUCCAUCCUAGCACACGUCCUCAGGCCACUGCACCUCCCCCAGGCAUCAUCAAUAAUUCUUCAUGUCCUCUUGAAGCACAUGUGACAUGGCAUUCCUGCUGCACAGCCACCUGUGGCAACAAGGAAGGGAGCAGCUCUCCCUGCUCAGCAUCACUCUGUUAGAGGAUUCUAAGGGGAUGAACUGCUUGUGCUCCAAUGUCUUCUAGGGUUUUUAGUGAAAUGGCUCCUUCUGUUUUACCUUCAUGAGGCUGGAGGAGGAGUCCUGAGUGGGGAGGUGCUGAGUUGGAAGGAGCCAAGAGCCAUGCUCUAGCAGAGAGGGCACUGCCUUGGGUACAGGUGCUGGGCCUGGGAGCUGACUCUGCCACUAAAAGGCCAUGAGACCAUGGACAAGUCACUCUCAUUUUCAGGCCUCCAUUUCCUCACCUGUAUCACGGGGGCCGGACUCAGCGAUUCUCAAGCUGCUCUGGGCCCCCAGCCUUACUUCUGCCAUAGCAGCUCCUGUUUGGUCUAUUUUAGAAUGUGAGCUUUUGUGAAAAUUUCCUUUAAGGAAUGGGUUCCACUGCUUUAAAAACACUUGGAAACAACUGGACUAGAAGAUCUAAGGUCCCUUCCAGCCCCUACAUUUUUGAGCAUAAAACCAAUCUUGUUUUUUUCACCAUUGUGCCAAGGAAGCACUGGUUCCAAGAAUUAAUGGAAAAUAGAUGAUUAAAGGCCCAUCUCCUGCCAGGCUCGCUGCCAUGGCAAAUCUACCAUGACUGGGUAAAAGGUUUUGCUUCACAUCCAUCCUCAGCACCUUCUCACUUCCUUCUCACUUGCUUCUGCCACUAUUCCUAAGCAAGCUAAAGAAAGGGAAAUUUUAAAUCCAUUGCAUAAAAUGCAAACCAGCCUAGUAAACAAAAAUGUGGAAAAGAUGGCAAGGGAUAAAUCAUGUGCCUUUUCAGCCUUUAUAAACAGACCUUGGGAGCUUUACAAAGGCUUGACUUAUGGCAAUGGAAGCUGGCAGCCCUCCGUAGUUCAUUCCAGAUGUUUGGUGCUAGAGAGAAUUACAGGGCAGUGGUUAAUAGUUUGGGCUCUGCGGUCAGAAAGAUAUGAGUUCAAUUCCUUGUGCUUCCAUUCACUAACUGGGUGAUCUUGGUUAGAUGUGCUGGACUGUAAAAUCAUCAUCAUCACCAUAUCUAUUUUAUUGAGUUAUCAUGAGGACUGGGAGUGAGUUAAUACAUGUACAAUGUUUAGCACAGUGCCUAGCACAUAGAAAAUACCCAAUAAAUUAGCUCUUUGAUGUUAUUGUUGUUAGAAUUACUACUCCCAUUGGCUUCCAGGAAGCUCAGAGAUCAGAGCUCAGUUGAAUAUUCAACUAAAAAAAUCCUCCGGCUGGGCAUGGUGGUUCAUGCCUGUAAUCCCAGCAUUUUGGGAGGCCAAGGCAGGCAGAUCACCUGAGGUUGGGAGAUUGAGACCAUCCUAGCUAACACGGUGAAACCCUGUCUCUACUAAAAAUACAAAAAAUUAGCUGGGUGUGGUGGCACAUGCCUACAAUCCCAGCUACUUGGGAGGCUGAGGCAGGAGAAUUGGUUAAACCCAGGAGGCGGAGGUUGCGGUAAGCUGAGAUCGCGCCACUGCACUCCAGCCUGGGCAACAAGAGUGAAACUCCAUCUCAAAUAAAUCAAUAAUAAAAAAAAAAAACUUCUAGGUACCAUUUGCUUCCUUUCCAUGUCCAUUUAUGGCAUCUUUUAAGAUAGUUGUUAUUUAUCGAGUGCUUAUUUUUGCCAGGACUUACAGGCACUACCCUACACCUAGCACAGUGCUUAGGGUAUUGGAAAUAACUCAAUAAAUUGUGGCAGAAUAAAUGAAUGAUCUUAUCCAAUGCUCCCAGCAACUCUAAGAAGUAGAUAUCAUUAUCUCAAUUAUAGUAGACUUUUUUUGUUAUUAUUGUUGACAUCUGAGACUACUUCCUGAUUGUGGGGAAUCUGCCCUUGUGUGAGGGUCUCAUCUUGGAUGCUGAGAAAGUGAAAAACUCCCCUGGACCUCUGGUAGCAGGAACACAGAUAUACAAACCAAGUACAGCUAAUCAGAUCCUCACCUGGGACUUUUUUUAAAUUUUAGUUUUUAUUUAUUUAUUUAUUUUGAGACGGAAUCUCGCUCUGUCACCCAGGCUGGAGUGCAGUGGUGCGAUCUCGGCUCACUGCAAGCUCUGCCUCCUGGGUUCACGCC